Molecule: non-coding RNA, 4996 nt
Organism: Chlorocebus sabaeus (green monkey)
Lineage: Eukaryota; Metazoa; Chordata; Mammalia; Primates; Cercopithecidae
Source: RefSeq, a predicted model, not a curated record
UUCACGCCAUUCUCCUGCCUCAGCCUCCCACGUAGCUGGGACUACAGGCACCCGCCACCACGCUCAGCUAAUUUUUUGUAUUUUUAGUAGAGUUAUUUCUAAUUUAACUAUUGAUAUGUUUGGAUUUAAGUGCCACUUUGCUAUUUCUUUUCUAUUUUCUCAUUUUCCUUCCUAUAUUAUUCCUUUUAUUACUUUGCUUGUGGCCAUCAAAUGUUUUAAGCAUAUCAUUCAAUUCCAUUUUCAGGUAAAAUUUCUUUGCAGUAUUUUCUAGUGGUUCUGCUAUAGAUUAUAUCACGUCAUCACAACCACCUUAAAGUUAAUUAAUAUUAAACGAUUUCUGAACAAAGCAGGAUACUUUCAAGGGGCUAUGUUCUAUUCUACCAACUAUCCUUUGGGCUACACACUGUUGUACAGAGAUAUAUUAAACCUCUGUCCAUUUUAAACCCUACAAUACAGUGUUAUAAUUUUUGUUUUAAAUAGCCAUGUGUAUUCUAUAGAAAUUAUAAGAUUAUGUAUACGUGUAUCUAUCUUUAUAUCAUACUCGAGCAUUUUUUGCAGUAAAAUCCUAUUAAUAAUAAUUUUUUCUCACUUUUAUUUUAUUUUGUCUUUAUUUCACCUUCAUCUUUGAAGAAUAGUUUUUCUAGAUAUAGAAUCUUUGGAUGAUGGAUAUUUCCUUCCUCCACACUUUCACGUCUCCUCAACAUCUCUGGCCUCCACUGUUUUGGAUGAAAAGUCAGCCAUUAAUCAUAUCAUUGUUCCUCUCUAUGGAAUGGGCCACUUUUCUCUUGCUGCUUUCAAGAAUUUCUCCUCUCCUCACUUUGUCUUUCAGAGAUUUGACUAUCAUAUUAUCUAGUUGUGGUUUCUUAUGGUUAUCGUAUUUUGGUUUGUCGAUCUGAAGAGUUCUGUAAAUAUUCUCGCCGGUUUGGGAAAUGUUGGCCUUAUUUCCUCAUUUUUAAAAAAUUGUCUAUUUUAUUUUCUCUUUUCUCUUUCUGGGGCUUUGAUUUCACCCAUAUUGGACUCCCUGAUGUUGUUCCAAAGGUCGCCGAAGCUUUUACAUUUUUUCUCAAUCAGUUUCCAUCUGUUCUUCAGAUUGGACAAUUUCUAUGGAUCUAUCUUCAGGUUCACUGAUUCUUUCUUCUGCUGUCUCUGAUCUGCUAGAUGAAUCCAUCUGGUACAUUUUUCAGUUUAUAUUCUGAUACUGUAUUUUUCACCUCUAGAACUUCAACUUUUAAAAACUAGUUUUCAUUUCUCUGUUGAAAUGUUCUACCUAUUAACUCAUUAAUACCACACGUUUCUUUAAUGAUUUAUACAUAUUUAUAUUAGCUCCUUUGACGUCUUUGCAAAAUCCAGCAUAAAAGCUGUCUCACAGUUGGUUUCCAUGCCUGAUUUUUUUCUUCUGAGUACAGAUCACAUUUGACUAUUUCUCUGCAUGUCUAGUACACGUUGGAGGGAGGCUUGCCAAUGGAAGUAAUGUUUCGUAGAUGCUCUGAAAUGUCUUUUAUUCUUCUAAGCGUUGUUUCUUUGUUACCAUAGGCAGCGAAUCCUCCUGCUUUCAAAGCUGUCUUCCCUAAAAAAUGCAGCAGGUGGCCUCGCUUUGGCUUCCUUGUUGCUGUUUUGUGAGAGAGAGGGAGGGUGUGACUGUGUUUAUUUUUCAUCUUGGUCCUACCUAUUAAUCCUACAGCUGUGUGGUUUAGUGAUCAUGGUUUAGUGAUCAGCUAUGUAUCCGGGCAGUGUACAGAUUUGGGGGCUCACCCCCUCUCUAGGUGUCUUGCUGCUGAAACUACCCCUUAAUUCUUAGUUGCUCUGGCAUCCCCAGUUUCUUCCUUCUUUAAGGCAGAACAACUUCCUCUCAGUCACAGGGACCAUGUAGGCUGGGGAGUGAACUCUGCCAAGGGCACAGAAUUCUUCUGAAUAUCAUCAGAAGCCUUUUCUGUCUAAUUUCCGCCUCAUUCCUCCAGGUCCUCCAAGCUCGUUCACUUGGGGAGUCAGCCAGGGAUCUGGGCAAAGUUUGACUCUGACUUGAGGUCUCAGCCCAUCUGUGCUUUCUUGCUUACAGACCUUCUCCAUGCACUUCCAGCUGCUCUGUGUCGUCUGCCCCCUGAAGCUGCAGAGCCGGUGGUUUUCUUAUCACUACAGGUGGGGUUUUAGGAGCUGCCUGUAGCCAGAAGCCGGCAGUCCUUCCCCAGUGCAGCUGCAUCCCUUCCGAAAUCACUUCGCAGUUUCUUCCUGCCCUUGUUCAAGUUCCAGUGCUUCCAAAUGGCGGCUUUGGAUAAUCGUGUUGGGAUGUCACUGUCGUUGCCUGUGAGUGGAAUCUCCUGCCCCAUCGUCCACAGCUUCCCCUGCUCAUUCCUUCCUGAACCUCCAAGAGUCCACUAGGAUAUAUUGUUUUUUCUGUCUUGUUUUUCAGUACUUCCUUGAGUAAGACCCUUUUGGGAAUCUUUUUCUCUCCAUUUUCAUUUUUCUGCCAGUAUCUUUAUUUUACCCUCCUGUUAAAAGUAUAUCUUUGCAGAUGUGAAGUUUUAACUCGGAAGAGGUUGAUUUUUUUCUACCCGGAACUUUCCAACUGCUCUGCUGCUGUCUGGCUCUCAGUGCCCAUCAGUCAUCUGGAAACAUCCUGUGCUCAGUGUUUGUUCCCUGAGUCUGCAAUCUGGGCUGAGCUUGACUGGGAGUUUCUUUGGUUGAUCCUGGGGAGCUCCCUGAUGGCCGUCUACUGGUGGGUGGGCCGGGAACCGGCUGGUUUUUGACAGCCCCGCUGGGAGGGCGGGGGUGGCUGGCCCCUUCCUGGGUUCCUUCCUCAUGCAGCCUCACCUCGGCUGGUUCACUGGGUGGCAGGGCCCGAGGGCCAUCCAGCGGGAGGACACGCUAAUGAGCCAGGACUGUAAAAAUGUCUGCCUGUAUCACAUUUGCUAUUGUUUGAUUGGACCGAGGAAGCCAUGCAAGCUCACAGGCGGUGUGGGACGACACAGGGAGGUGUGAGCCAAAGCGGCUGUCACAAGGACAAUCUGCCGCGGAACACCUGGCACCAGACACUCACAUCUCCAAACACUCCUCCAAUUAGGCCCUCACCUUCUGGUCUGUGGUCCCACCUUGUCUCCUCAUACGCCUGGCUCAUUGUCUGCAAGGGUCCAGGGUGGUGCCGCCAUGCCAUUCGGCUCCAUCACUCAUGCCAGUCUGCCCCACGGUACAUGCACCCAUGGAACCUCCCGGAUCCCACACACUGGGCAGGCAGGAGACCAUCUGAUCACAGAGGAGCUCAUCGUGCUGCACACACAGCUGACCCUCCUUCACCCAGAGCCCUGUCAGUGGGCUGCUGCCACCCCUCCAGGGAGCCUCAGCUCUGAGAUUUUGGGACACAGAACCCAGUUGUCCUAUGGCUCUUCAAAUGGAAUCUUCCUGAAAACCCAGCACCCCGCCCAUCGUGCACAAAGCCACAACGCCUAAGUCCUCGCCUGUUGAAAGUUUAUUCCAAUAAACACUGGAGCGUCCCCUUAACAAAUCAACUCCAGGCUCUGGCAAGACAAAGGCGCUGUGGUGCCUUCUCGAAAAGACUUUAUCUCCUGGUGAAGAAGAAGGACUUGAGGACAUAAGGCCUCUCUGAAGCUGGAUAGAGAGAGACGAGGAAGGAGAAGAGAAUCCUCAUGGCAUCAACAUUCAAGAGGCUGGAGCAAGAGCCAUUCCCUGAAAAGCCACAAAUGGAAUUUACACCAAGAAAUCGGGUUGAAUUUAGACCAUGUGAUAGGGAGGGUUGUAACGUCCAGGGAGCGUUUGAAGAGAGAGAUGAAAUAGGAGGGAAUUAAUCCGAGACGUUCGAGGGAAGAUGGCUGUACAGGAAGCUGAUAUUCACUGGGUCCGGUGUUGGGCCUGAGUCCUCCUCCUGCUCUGCUGGGGUUGCAGUUCCCGGCUCUCUUGCUCUCUGGGAGCUCCCCCUUGUUCUCGUUCUUAAAGCCUCCUUUGCAAUUUUUUUAAAAUUUAUUUUUAUUGUGUAUAUCUAAGUUGUACAAUAUGAUGUUUGUUUUGAUAUACAGAAACACAGAGAAAUGCUUACUACAUAGAAAUUAACAUACUCAUCACCUCCACAGUCACACUUCCUGCGCACCUCUGUGUGUGUGUGUGUGUCUGUGUCUGUGUCUGUGUGUGUGUGUGUGUGUGUGGCAGGAGGACCUAAAAUCGACUGUCUCAGCACAUUUUCAGUAUGCAGAAUAAUGUUAUUAACUUGGUUGUUCCUCCUGCUGUACAUCAGAUUUCUAGGCUUGGAAUGGACAGGACACAGGAUGACUCACACAGACCCAUCUAUACCACACACCUUCCUCAGAAGGUGGGCCCUUGGCCUGGGGCCCUCCAGGGUCUGUGUUCACUGUGACCCUCGCAGAGCUGGGCACUCUUCUCAUUUGCCACCUGGCCUUUGAUCUGGUUGGGGCCUGUCUCUCCAGAGGUAGGAGACAGGACUUCUCUUUGAAUUUCUCUCAUUUCAGGCAGGUUAGCCUUGGCUUUGUAGAGCCAGGAAAUGAUUGAACAGAGCCCAGGAGGUGACAUGAAUGGUCCUCUCAUUUCUGCCAGAUCACCUUGGGCCGUCUUCAGGCAUCUCUGAGAGAUGCCCACACACUCCGAGUUGCUCCUUUCAUAUGUGGGUCUCAACCCACCCAUGGUGUGUCCCGCCUGUGUCCUGGAGGGAAGGGAGGCAGUGUCCACAGGGCCUGGGCCCUGGAGCAGCCAAGGGAACCCACACCUGAGAUUCUCCUGGGAGCUGGACCCUGGGCCCUGGUGAUGCUGCUGCAGUGGCCUGUGGACAGAGAUGCUGGUGGCCACACAGAAAUCCACAAAGAGUGAGAAUGCAGGUGUAGACAGGAUUUCCAAAAAGCUCAACAGACAGGAAAGCAAACAAGAGCUCAAAAUUCUACCUCCAACAUAUCCUUAGCAGGCGAUUCCAGGCUACGGUCUGCCACAACUGGAUUAGGAUAAGUAAUGCUGUGGCAGGUGGUGACCCCCGAAUCCUAGA